This 119-nucleotide ribosomal RNA is filed under the name Pteropus vampyrus (large flying fox). Lineage: Eukaryota; Metazoa; Chordata; Mammalia; Chiroptera; Pteropodidae. The record is from RNAcentral.
UCUUAAGGUCAUGCCACCCUGAACGUGCCCGAUCUCAUCUGAUCUUAGAAGCUAAGCAGGGUCCGGCCUGGUUAGUACGUGGAUAGGAGACCACCUAGGAAUACCAGGUGCUAUAGGUA